This 253-nucleotide ribosomal RNA is filed under the name uncultured bacterium. Its description in RNAcentral is "partial 16S ribosomal RNA". It matches the Rfam family "Bacterial small subunit ribosomal RNA", at positions 524 to 777 of the family's 1533-position model. The record is from RNAcentral.
UACGGAGGGGCUAGCGUUAUUCGGAAUUACUGGGCGUAAAGCGCACGUAGGCGGCUUUGUAAGUUAGAGGUGAAAGCCUGGAGCUUAACUCCAGAAUUGCCUUUAAGACUGCAUCGCUUGAAUCCAGGAGAGGUGAGUGGAAUUCCGAGUGUAGAGGUGAAAUUCGUAGAUAUUCGGAAGAACACCAGUGGCGAAGGCGGCUCACUGGACUGGUAUUGACGCUGAGGUGCGAAAGCGUGGGGAGCAAACAGGG